UUGCGAAUACAUUCUCGCUGUCCUGAUAUUUCAGUGAUCAGGGCAGGCUAGACAUUCGCUAUAUUAUCACUGUGCAGUGUGUCUCCAGGGCAAGUUUGUCUCCCUAGUUCUGGUUUUUAACUGCAAGUAACAUUC
RNAcentral lists this small nucleolar RNA (135 nucleotides) under Varanus komodoensis (Komodo dragon). RNAcentral's name for it is "Small nucleolar RNA SNORA72 (ENSVKKG00000009547.1)". It matches the Rfam family "Small nucleolar RNA SNORA72". Rfam says of the family: U72 is a member of the H/ACA class of snoRNAs. The snoRNA gene is located in intron 4 of the ribosomal L30 protein gene in human, mouse and chicken. The record is from Rfam by way of RNAcentral. Lineage: Eukaryota; Metazoa; Chordata; Lepidosauria; Squamata; Varanidae.